This 1463-nucleotide long non-coding RNA is filed under the name Sinocyclocheilus anshuiensis. RNAcentral's name for it is "lncRNA (ENSSANG00000031660.1)". Lineage: Eukaryota; Metazoa; Chordata; Actinopteri; Cypriniformes; Cyprinidae. The record is from RNAcentral.
GUGUAAUGCUUCUUUUAAUAUCCCCUCAAGGUCAGACAUUACUGAAAAGAGCAGUUGUGUUGGUGUCUCAUGACGAAGUGAAGCACUACCUCAGGAGUAGAGCACAAACCACUGCAGAGGAAUCAACAGCCUCUGAGAGUCAGCAGGACACAGCACCUGCCAGAGUUCUUCACGUCAGUACUGGAGGAGUUUAUUCUGUGUGUGUGAGAUCUGUUAUUGUUUGUGCGUUACUCAAGUAGUAAACAGUGACUGCUGAUGUGAUUUGCAGGUGGUAGAGCAUAGGGAUGGUCUUGAGGAACAGGGCUCUACUAGUGGUACUCUAGAAGAGAGGGCCUCUCAGGAAGUAAAGGAAACCGACACCACCUUCAUUUCUGCCCAACAAAGCAUUGUCGGAAAAAGGAGGUUUUCCAAGCCCAAACCCAGUCUGAGCCGGGCAGCACAGUCCAUCCGCAGACCUCUGAAUGUACAGACAACAGAUUUUAGUGAAAAUACCCCGUCUUUCAAAUGUGACUCAGUGCAGCUGCAGUGUAGCAGUCCUGUGGAAGUCCAAGUGAAGAACACCCCUAAUGAAUGCCUUGUAGAAGAGCACAGGGACCGUCCUGAGGAAGAGAGCACAUGUAGUGUUACUCCAGAAGAGAACGGCCCUCAGGAUGUUCAGGUCCAGGAUGAUGAAGCAGAAACCACUGUAGAUGAUCUUCCUUCCUUAACAUCAGUUGGAAGUCCUCCAAGAGCGAGUAAGAUUUUACCCAUCCUUGGGAUGCCCCAGGUUCUUGACACCACACCGUCAGAUGAAGAUGUGCCUGAAAGAAGAAGAGAAUUUGAUAGGUCUCCAUCGCAGACGUCUGAGAAUGAAGAUCAAAUUACUGAUCAGGAGGAACAGGAUUCAGAGCCUGUUGAGUCUGAAGUCACAGACGCCAUGAUUGAGGAAUCUCAGACAGAGCUGAAGAGGAUUAUUCCAGUCAGGUGCGCACUGUCAGAUGAAUCGGUAGAUGGCUGAAAUUGUCUUGAAUGUUUUUAACAUCUUUUGCAUCUGUGCAGCUGUUCUGCGGAUGGUUCCUCAGUUUAUACUCAAGAUGAUAUUGCCCCAGAGAGACACAGUCAGUUUGAUAAGCAAACACCCAACCUAGAAGGGACACCCCCAGUCAUGAUCAACCCUCAGCAGACCUUAGAGCCUAAAGAAGGUGGGGUUCAUGUUGUUCAGAUUGACAAUAUCGCUUUAAGGGUCACUAGUGCUACCGCCAAUGAUUGAGACUUGACAUCUUCAUUUAGAUUCUGCCGAAAAGCCAGAAGCUCAGAGUCCUGUUCAAGCCCGGCACAGUCAUUUGGAUCAUGACAUAGAGAACAUCUCCAGAGAAGAUAAGCUUCUGUCAUCUGAGGUGGAUUUGCAGGAACGUAAACUGGAUGAACCAAAUGGUGAGUUUUAGACUUUUAACACUUUCUUAAGUUUUUGUUAUAUUUAAUUA